AUUAAAAUACUCCUUAUUCACAAAAUCUUUUUCAUUUUCAGACGCAUUGAAUAAUGUUUAUUUUUUCGGAUCUUAAGUCAUUCACCCUUAUUCGUUUAGUCAUUGUCAGAUUAUUUAGCAGGACUCUGAGGUAGCACGAGUGCAUGCCGUAGUUGGAGACCAACGAGUAUCAAACAAGAUUUACUAUUCAAUAACAUAUAGCAGUUGUGGUGAUGGACUUUUUAUCAUAAACAACGUUACCGGUGUUAUAUAUACAUUAGUAGAUAUUGGCAAGAAUAGCGCAACAGUCAGACAAAACUUCAGAUAUUGUACUGUAACUGUGGAAGCAAAUGAAAUGCAAAGUGUCAACGGGCCCCAGUACGGCAACACAACUGCUUCUACGAAUGUCACCAUCAUACUGCAAGAUUUUCAUUCCCCUCCCGCCAACAACUGGAAAUGAUGCAACUACACUACAACCAACAAAACAAACUCUACCAGGACUAAACUAUACCGGUCUCGAUGUUUUGCUGUCAGAUCUAACUUGAAGAUAAUUAUUUGUACUUCUUGUCAAACAAUUAAUGAUUUAUCUAGUAUUGCAAUGUGCAUCUA
Molecule: long non-coding RNA, 588 nt
Organism: Mercenaria mercenaria
Lineage: Eukaryota; Metazoa; Mollusca; Bivalvia; Venerida; Veneridae
Exons: 3
Source: RefSeq, a predicted model, not a curated record